This 24-nucleotide non-coding RNA is filed under the name Cricetulus griseus (Chinese hamster). The record is from RNAcentral. Lineage: Eukaryota; Metazoa; Chordata; Mammalia; Rodentia; Cricetidae.
AUAAUGUACCCAUGUAGACUAGCA